GUGGGGGGAUGGAGGGGGUAGGAACAUGAUGUGUGUAUACUAUUGAAGUUAAGUUGGUAUCUAAGUGAAGGAGAUUGUUAUGGAUUUAGGAUGUUAAAUUUAAGACCCAUGAUAGCUGCUGAGAAAAUAUAGGAGAA
This 137-nucleotide microRNA precursor is filed under the name Dasypus novemcinctus (nine-banded armadillo). RNAcentral describes it as "miRNA (ENSDNOG00000033880.1)". The record is from RNAcentral. Lineage: Eukaryota; Metazoa; Chordata; Mammalia; Cingulata; Dasypodidae.